GUAAAACCGCUCUCGACGAGUGACUGGCGCGGGAGGGGGGGGAAGGGGUGUUGUGGGAGCGUUCGGUCGUUUGGCGGAUCUCGUUUUUAAUCGUUCGCCCGGGGACCGCGUAAAGGACCACCCCGAACGCGAUGCAACACAAUGAGUAUUACUUACGAUAUUAUCACAGCACAAUGUUACGCACUCGUAUCCGACGGUUUGGCGAUUUCGGACGGAAACGGUCGGGUUCGGGUACGAAAACCGGCGCAUUGUUGUCGCCGUUAUUAAUGGUGUCUAAAUGGCCAGCGUG
Cinara cedri is the source of this 289-nucleotide non-coding RNA. The record is from the annotation of a GenBank genome assembly. Lineage: Eukaryota; Metazoa; Arthropoda; Insecta; Hemiptera; Aphididae.